AACAUAGUUUUAUGUAUUUAUAUAAAAUAUUUUCUGCCCAAUGUUUUUAAAAAAAAUCAAUGGCCGCAGUACCUUGACUGUGCUAAGGUAGCAUAAUCAAUUGGCUUUUAAUUAAGGUCUAGAAUGAAUGGGAUAAUGAAGUUAAUCUGUCUUAGUUGCUUUUAUUAAAAUUUAUUUAAAAGGUGAAAAUACCUUUUUUAAAAAUAAAGACGAGAAGACCCUUAGAAUUUUUAUUAUUUUUUUUGUUGGGGCGACAGUUUAAAAUAUAAUCUUAAAUUUAUUGUAAUAUAUAUAACGAUUUUUUUAAUAGAAAUUAAAUUACCUUAGGGAUAACAGCAUAAUUAAUUAUUUAGUUUGUGACCUCGAUGUUGGACUAGGAACUAUAUGGCUAACCGUCUAAUUAGAUUUGUUCUGUUCG
RNAcentral lists this ribosomal RNA (418 nucleotides) under Planorbis planorbis. Its description in RNAcentral is "partial large subunit ribosomal RNA". The stretch from base 1 to 139 matches the Rfam family "Archaeal large subunit ribosomal RNA", at positions 1904 to 2084 of the family's 2987-position model. Lineage: Eukaryota; Metazoa; Mollusca; Gastropoda; Planorbidae. The record is from RNAcentral.